UAUGGGAGCGAGCCUGCUCGCGGUAGCGGUGUGUCAGUCAGCCAAUGUGUAGCUGAUACGCCGCUAUCGCGAGCAGGCUCGCUCCCACA
Molecule: unclassified non-coding RNA, 89 nt
Filed under: Pseudomonas mandelii
Lineage: Bacteria; Pseudomonadati; Pseudomonadota; Gammaproteobacteria; Pseudomonadales; Pseudomonadaceae
Source: RNAcentral